GACGAACGCUGGCGGCGUGCCUAAUACAUGCAAGUAGGACGCAGUUGCGAACGGCUGAGUAAAGCGUAGGUAACUACCUAUUAGAGGGGGAUAACUCUUGGAAACGAUAGCUAAUACUGCAUACUAGUACAUGGACCUGCGUUGUAUUAGCUAGUAGGUAGGGUAAUGGCCCACCUAGGUAAAGAUACAUAGCCGACCUGGGAGGGGGAUCGGCAACACUGGGGCUGGGACACGGCCCAGACUCCUAAGGGAGGCAGCAGUAGGGAAUCUUCGGCAAUGGGGGGAAGCCUGACCGAGCAACGCCGCGUGAGUGGAGAAGGUUUUCGGAUCGUAAAGCUCUGUUGUUAAGGAAGCGGUACUUAACCAGAAAGGGACGGCUAACUACGUGCCAGCCGCCGCGGUAAUAC
RNAcentral lists this ribosomal RNA (407 nucleotides) under uncultured bacterium. Its description in RNAcentral is "partial 16S ribosomal RNA". It matches the Rfam family "Bacterial small subunit ribosomal RNA", at positions 28 to 526 of the family's 1533-position model. The record is from RNAcentral.